This 243-nucleotide ribosomal RNA is filed under the name uncultured Actinomycetales bacterium. RNAcentral describes it as "partial 16S ribosomal RNA". It matches the Rfam family "Bacterial small subunit ribosomal RNA", at positions 88 to 334 of the family's 1533-position model. Lineage: Bacteria; Bacillati; Actinomycetota; Actinomycetes; Actinomycetales. The record is from RNAcentral.
UACUCGAGUGGCGAACGGGUGAGUAACACGUGGGUGAUCUGCCCUGCACUCUGGGAUAAGCCUGGGAAACUGGGUCUAAUACCGGAUAGGACCGCACUUUAGUGUGUGUGGUGGAAAGUUUUUUCGGUGUAGGAUGAGCUCGCGGCCUAUCAGCUUGUUGGUGGGGUAAUGGCCUACCAAGGCGGCGACGGGUAGCCGGCCUGAGAGGGUGUACGGCCACAUUGGGACUGAGAUACGGCCCAG